RNAcentral lists this ribosomal RNA (460 nucleotides) under uncultured bacterium. RNAcentral's name for it is "SSU rRNA". It matches the Rfam family "Bacterial small subunit ribosomal RNA", at positions 26 to 518 of the family's 1533-position model. The record is from RNAcentral.
AGAAUCAACGCUGGCGGCGUGCCUAACACAUGCAAGUCGCACGAGAAAGGGGCUUCGGCUCUGAGUAAAGUGGCGCACGGGUGAGUAACACGUGAAUUAUCUACCUCCGAGUGGGGAAUAACUGAGAGAAAUCUUAGCUAAUACCGCAUAACACUUACGAGUCAAAGCAGCAAUGCGCUUGGAGAGGAGUUCGCGGCCGAUUAGUUAGUUGGCGGGGUAAUGGCCCACCAAGACGAUGAUCGGUAUCCGGCCUGAGAGGGCGCACGGACACACUGGAACUGAAACACGGUCCAGACUCCUACGGGAGGCAGCAGUGGGGAAUUUUGCGCAAUGGGGGAAACCCUGACGCAGCAACGCCGCGUGGAGGAUGAAAUCCCUUGGGAUGUAAACUCCUUUCGAUAGGGAAGAUUAUGACGGUACCUAUAGAAGAAGCCCCGGCUAACUUCGCGCCAGCAGCCGC